This 801-nucleotide ribosomal RNA is filed under the name uncultured bacterium. RNAcentral describes it as "bacterial SSU rRNA". It matches the Rfam family "Bacterial small subunit ribosomal RNA", at positions 8 to 796 of the family's 1533-position model. The record is from RNAcentral.
AGAGUUUGAUCAUGGCUCAGAGCGAACGUUAGCGGCGCGCCUAACACAUGCAAGUCGCACGAGAGGGAGCAAUCCUGAAAGUGGCGCACGGGUGCGUAACACGUAGAUAAUCUGCCCUUCAGCGGGGGAUAACGUUCCGAAAGGAGCGCUAAUACCGCAUACAGCAGUUGGUGGUUCGCCAUCGAUUGGCAAAGGCUGGGACCUUCGGGCCAGCCACUGAGGGAGGAGUCUGCGGCCCAUCAGCUAGUUGGUAAGGUAAUGGCUUACCAAGGCAAAGACGGGUAGCUGGUCUGAGAGGAUGAUCAGCCACACUGGUACUGGAACACGGACCAGACUCCUACGGGAGGCAGCAGUGGGGAAUCUUGGUCAAUGGGCGCAAGCCUGAACCAGCGACGCCGCGUGAGUGAUGAAGGCCUUCGGGUUGUAAAGCUCUGUGGGGAGAGACGAAAGAAUCGGUUCUAACAGGACCGAAGUUGACGGUAUCUCCUUAGCAAGCACCGGCUAACUCUGUGCCAGCAGCCGCGGUAAGACAGAGGGUGCAAACGUUGCUCGGAAUCACUGGGCGUAAAGGGCGUGUAGGCGGGUAGAUAAGUCGGGCGUGAAAUCCCUAGGCUCAACCUAGGAACUGCACUCGAAACUGUUUAUCUUGAGUGCCGGAGAGGAAAGCGGAAUUCCUGGUGUAGAGGCGAAAUUCGUAGAUAUCAGGAGGAACACCAGUGGCGAAGGCGGCUUUCUGGACGGUAACUGACGCUGAGACGCGAAAGCGUGGGGAGCAAACAGGAUUAGAUACCCUAGUAGUCC